GGGGUUAUAGCUCAGUUGGUAGAGUGCUUGCUUCACGUACAUAAGGCCCUGGAUUCAAUUCCCAGUGCCCCCC
This is a non-coding RNA of Ictidomys tridecemlineatus (thirteen-lined ground squirrel), 73 nucleotides long. NCBI's taxonomy places the organism in Eukaryota, Metazoa, Chordata, Mammalia, Rodentia, Sciuridae. The record is from Rfam.